Molecule: unclassified non-coding RNA, 102 nt
Organism: Cavia porcellus (domestic guinea pig)
Lineage: Eukaryota; Metazoa; Chordata; Mammalia; Rodentia; Caviidae
Rfam family: Y RNA
About the family: Y RNAs are components of the Ro ribonucleoprotein particle (Ro RNP), in association with Ro60 and La proteins. The Y RNAs and Ro60 and La proteins are well conserved, but the function of the Ro RNP is not known.
Source: Ensembl
GGCUGGUCCGAGUGCAGUGGUGUUUACAACUAAUUGAUCACAACCAGUUACAGAUUUCUGUGUCCCUUUUCCACUCCCACUGCUUCACUUGACUAGCCUUAA